RNAcentral lists this ribosomal RNA (540 nucleotides) under uncultured Acinetobacter sp. RNAcentral describes it as "bacterial SSU rRNA". It matches the Rfam family "Bacterial small subunit ribosomal RNA", at positions 340 to 871 of the family's 1533-position model. The record is from RNAcentral. Lineage: Bacteria; Pseudomonadati; Pseudomonadota; Gammaproteobacteria; Moraxellales; Moraxellaceae.
UACGGGAGGCAGCAGUGGGGAAUAUUGGACAAUGGGCGAAAGCCUGAUCCAGCCAUGCCGCGUGUGUGAAGAAGGCCUUUUGGUUGUAAAGCACUUUAAGCGAGGAGGAGGCUACUUAGAUUAAUACUCUAGGAUAGUGGACGUUACUCGCAGAAUAAGCACCGGCUAACUCUGUGCCAGCAGCCGCGGUAAUACAGAGGGUGCGAGCGUUAAUCGGAUUUACUGGGCGUAAAGCGUGCGUAGGCGGCUUUUUAAGUCGGAUGUGAAAUCCCUGAGCUUAACUUAGGAAUUGCAUUCGAUACUGGGAAGCUAGAGUAUGGGAGAGGAUGGUAGAAUUCCAGGUGUAGCGGUGAAAUGCGUAGAGAUCUGGAGGAAUACCGAUGGCGAAGGCAGCCAUCUGGCCUAAUACUGACGCUGAGGUACGAAAGCAUGGGGAGCAAACAGGAUUAGAUACCCUGGUAGUCCAUGCCGUAAACGAUGUCUACUAGCCGUUGGGGCCUUUGAGGCUUUAGUGGCGCAAAUAACGCGAUAAGUAGAGCA